CAGGCUCGUGCCCGCGUCGACCGAAAGCUUUGUUUACUUUCCUCAGUUUAGCUAAAAGGAGAUUCCUGGUCGGAAUAUUAUCGCUUUUUUACGAGAAAAAUGGCAUAAAAAUUGAUUUUAAACAGCGGUUGACAUGCUUCGAAGUACGGUAAUGGAAUAUUUAGAUUUUUUUUGUCACGGAUUGCGCCAUGCGCACGACCCUUAUUUACCAUUUCAGAUAGUGUCUGGGACGCACGAACAAAACGCCGCUAUUCGGAUAUAACGAUGGAUUAUUUUGGACCAAACCAACAUUUGUUAUUGAAGUAGCAGUCCUGGGAGUGCAUUCUGACGAAGACAACAAAAGAGGAUCAUGACGAGGAAAGCCCACAACAGAAGAGUUCUGACACCACUGUGCGCAGAGAUGA
Molecule: long non-coding RNA, 404 nt
Filed under: Salmo salar (Atlantic salmon)
Lineage: Eukaryota; Metazoa; Chordata; Actinopteri; Salmoniformes; Salmonidae
Description: lncRNA (ENSSSAG00000100749.1)
Source: RNAcentral